This 146-nucleotide small nuclear RNA is filed under the name Sorex araneus (European shrew). RNAcentral's name for it is "U1 spliceosomal RNA (ENSSARG00000014836.1)". It matches the Rfam family "U1 spliceosomal RNA", at positions 1 to 149 of the family's 166-position model. Rfam says of the family: U1 is a small nuclear RNA (snRNA) component of the spliceosome (involved in pre-mRNA splicing). Its 5' end forms complementary base pairs with the 5' splice junction, thus defining the 5' donor site of an intron. There are significant differences in sequence and secondary structure between metazoan and yeast U1 snRNAs, the latter being much longer (568 nucleotides as compared to 164 nucleotides in human). Lineage: Eukaryota; Metazoa; Chordata; Mammalia; Eulipotyphla; Soricidae. The record is from RNAcentral.
AUAUUUAUGAGGCAGGGGAGAUACCAUGAUCACAAAGGUGGUUUCCUCACAGCAAGACUUAUCCGGUACACUCCAGGUGCAUUGGCCCCUACGAUUUCCCCAAAUAUGGACACUUCACUGCAUCAUUUGUGGUAGCAGGGGAUUGA